GGCAAUGAUGCGUAGCCGAACUGAGAGUUUGAUCGGCCACAUGGGGACUGAGACACGGCCCAAACUCCUACGGGAGGCAGCAGUAGGGAAUCUUCCACAAUGGGCGAAAGCCUGAUGGAGCAACGCCGCGUGGGUGAAGAAGGUCUUCGGAUCGUAAAACCCUGUUGUUAGAGAAGAAAGUGCGUGAGAGUAACUGUUCACGUUUCGACGGUAUCUAACCAGAAAGCCACGGCUAACUACGUGCCAGCAGCCGCGGUAAUACGUAGGUGGCAAGCGUUAUCCGGAUUUAUUGGGCGUAAAGGGAACGCAGGCGGUCUUUUAAGUCUGAUGUGAAAGCCUUCGGCUUAACCGGAGUAGUGCAUUGGAAACUGGGAGACUUGAGUGCAGAAGAGGAGAGUGGAACUCCAUGUGUAGCGGUGAAAUGCGUAGAUAUAUGGAAGAACACCAGUGGCGAAAGCGGCUCUCUGGUCUGUAACUGACGCUGAGGUUCGAAAGCGUGGGUAGCAAACAGGAUUAGAUACCCUGGUAGUCCACGCCGUAAACGAUGAAUGCUAAGUGUUGGAGGGUUUCCGCCCUUCA
RNAcentral lists this ribosomal RNA (579 nucleotides) under uncultured bacterium. RNAcentral's name for it is "bacterial SSU rRNA". It matches the Rfam family "Bacterial small subunit ribosomal RNA", at positions 272 to 842 of the family's 1533-position model. The record is from RNAcentral.